UCUCUCUUUAUAUGCUUUAUUGCAAUCCAUUUUGGACUAUCAGAGAAAUAUAACUAUGUUUUGAUAUUAUUGCAUCUUCCUUUUCUGCUCUUUAGUUUCUGUAUCCCAUCACAAACACAUGAACGUCACUGUAUUACAUUUGGCACCAGCCCAAUUAUUUUUUCCUCUGUUUUUUUUUUUUUUUUCUUUUGGCCAAAUUUUCUACCAACAAAACAACACGCGCCGGGCGUAUCGUACGCCCAGACGCACCCAACAAAACAUCCCUAAUUCAUUUUCCCUCUUUUUCCCAAACAUCACCUCUCUCUCGCCCAAGCUUUGCAGCUCCUCGAACUGGAACCUACCGCCGACACCGACGAGCUCCUCCGCCGACUUUGAAGAGGUCCGCUUACCGGAACCUACCACUGAGACCGACAAGCUCCUCUUUUCCGUCGAACAGCUCCUCCUUUACCAAAUAAACCGUAACAACAGCUCUCUCACCCCAGACACAAUAAACCCCGAUCAAUUAUAUAAGUUUGUAACUUUGUAAGAUUCAUGAUUAUAUGUCUUGUAUCAGUUCAAAAUUGUUGGGUUAUUCACUCCGGUCACUCCACCGAAAGAGAUUGGGAGGUGGAUUGAGGAGGAUGCUUCCGUUCUUGUUCCUGCUGAUAUAAAUCAUAUAAUCAACAUUAAGUUUGGGGAUAUUAUUCCAGCACAUGCUCGUCUCCUCAAUGGUGAUCCACUGAAAUUGAUCAGUCUACACUUGUCGGUGAGUCACUUCCUGUGACCAAAGGCCCUGGUGACAUUGUGUAUUUGGGUUCUACAUGAAAACAAGGAGAGAUUGAAGCUGUGGUGAUUGCCACUAGUGUUCAUACCUAUUUUGGCAAGGCUGCUCAUCUUGUCGAUAACACAAAUCAACAGGGCCACUUUCAAAAGGUCCAGAGUUGCAACAAAUAAUUAGUGAUAGCCGUUCUGAAGUUCAUUCCGGUUAAUCAGACUUUUGGGUCAUGGUGGCGGCAUUGAAGAUUUGUGAAACCAAGAUUGAAUUUGCGACAACUGGAUAUAGUGUGCAUAAAUUAGAUCUGUUUAUCUUGGAAUUCCUAGCAAAUGAAGGUGGUGGUGAGGCACCCCUCAAGGGAUCAAUACCAGAUAUAACAUCUUCAACUGAGUUAGUCGACAUCCCCAGAAUUUCAUGUUUCUCUUUUGUGCUUUAUCUACUUUCUUGCAGGCACUAUGUAGCUUUACAGAAAACCUACCAAGCCAAGGCUGAGGCUGAUUUUCUAGUAUUGACCAAAGGGUUAGGACUCUUCUAAAGAGAAUUAGUAGAGAUCCUAGUAGCAACUCAAAGGCAACUGUUAUAAGUUUCUGCAAGAAUGCUAGAAAACUCAAAGCAAGUGUGUGGAGUUUUAUAGUGUCAUUUACUUGUAUUCGAUCUGUUUGAUUGUUGGUUUGAUCUUAUUUGAGCUCCUGAAUUUGUUUCUUUCGUUCAAAUUUUGAAGAAUGUAAAGAGUUAAUUGGGACGGGGCUUGGCAAUUGGAUCCAUAUAGAUUCCAAACUACUUGUAUUUUCCCUUCAUCUUCUGUUUUGAAAUUGGUCUUUGUUGUUUGGUUUUUAAAAUGUUGGACGGCCAUUUUGAUUGAGUUCUUGUUGUUAGAUAGUUUCUUUUGAUUCCUCGUGCAGUCCGCAUCUGUUUCGUUACUUUUUCUAGAGCUAUGAAUUAAGUAUAUGUGAUUUUGUUUUCUACUAAUUAUGUAGGCAUUAUGCUAUUUGAAUUUGAGUUUCUGGAAUUAUAUAUGAGAAUAGGGUGAAGUUUUUGAAGAGUUUCAAAGAGGCUAUGGGCUGUAGAGCUAGAGUGGAAUAUAGGGCAGCCCAUAGCCUCUUUGAAUCUGAUUGUUUGGAAGCUUAAGUAGAUCAGUUAGGGAUUUGAGUAUUUCUUUGAUUUCUGAUUCUUUGGAGGUUGGAGAGGAUACAUAUAUUGUGUCGGGAUUUGCAGUUUCUGAUUCUUUGAUUUCUUCGAUUUUUGAUUCUUUGGUGCUGUUUGAAUUUGGGUUUCUGGAUGCAGGUUUGAGAUGGUUUUGAUUUGUAGUGACUUUAGUCGAGAUUUGCAGCAUUUGCUGCUGUCUUCUUUGCUGUUGGUGUGUUUUGUCUUUGUCUUUUUUUUCUUGUUUUGGGUACAAAG
Rosa chinensis is the source of this 2155-nucleotide RNA transcript. RefSeq lists it as uncharacterized. The transcript has 6 exons. NCBI's taxonomy places the organism in Eukaryota, Viridiplantae, Streptophyta, Magnoliopsida, Rosales, Rosaceae. The record is from RefSeq and is a predicted model, not a curated record.